Molecule: ribosomal RNA, 253 nt
Filed under: uncultured bacterium
Lineage: Bacteria
Description: partial 16S ribosomal RNA
Rfam family: Bacterial small subunit ribosomal RNA
Source: RNAcentral
GACAGAGGGUGCAAACGUUGCUCGGAAUUACUGGGCGUAAAGCGCGUGUAGGCGGGUCGGCAAGUCAGAUGUGAAAUCCCUGGGCUCAACCUAGGAACUGCAUUUGAAACUGCCGGUCUUGAGUGAUGGAGAGGAGAGCGGAAUUCCUGGUGUAGAGGUGAAAUGCGCAGAUAUCAGGAGGAACACCGGUGGCGAAGGCGGGUCUCUGGGCCGAUACUGACGCUGAGGUGCGAAAGCGUGGGGAGCAAACAGG